AGCAGCACAGGGCUUGCAGUCAGGAAAACCUCUGAUACCGGAAGCCUUGGGAUCAUGGUUAGAUUCUUUUCAAGGCAGUGAAAUCCCAAGUCUCUGUCUUUUCAUGCUGAUUGGUUUCUGGAAAACAAAUAUAUCCUUUGAAAUUUGAAAGCAGAGAGCUCAAGGGAGAAAACUUGGACCCAGAUGAAGAAACUGGAAGGUCAAUCACAAGUAAGACAUCAGAAGGGUGAGAG
RNAcentral lists this long non-coding RNA (233 nucleotides) under Monodelphis domestica (gray short-tailed opossum). Its description in RNAcentral is "lncRNA (ENSMODG00000043768.1)". Lineage: Eukaryota; Metazoa; Chordata; Mammalia; Didelphimorphia; Didelphidae. The record is from RNAcentral.